AUUCAUCUGAUGAGUCCCAAAUAGGACAAAACGCGUGUCCUGGAU
Molecule: non-coding RNA, 45 nt
Filed under: Schistosoma mansoni
Lineage: Eukaryota; Metazoa; Platyhelminthes; Trematoda; Strigeidida; Schistosomatidae
Source: RNAcentral